AUUAGCUCCUGAAGACUGCGAAUGCAGUGGGAGAACAAAGGACACAGGGAAAUGCUACUAAGAUAAAUGGAAGCAAAUAGUUUGUCUGAAGGAGCAUUGGAAAGGUCCAUGAUUUGUCAUCUUUCCGUGGAUCUGCUCUCCUUCGGAAGAAGUGCUCAGGAAGAGACAAGAAGUGUUCCUUCUUUCAUGCUCCUUCUGCAUCUACCUCUGGCUACAGAAACCAGUUUGUAUGCGAAGCCCAGGGAUGUAGGUCGGACCCCACGUCUGCACAGCCCUAAGGACAACCGGAGCCGGGCAGUGUGGCUGCCAGGCACUGCCCACGUGCCCCGCUGCUCCGGGGUGAACCGUGCGACCACCCUAGCACGUCGCCUGGCACCCGCUGCACCGUGGCCAGCCCUUACAGACCUGUCAGGAAAAUAUCUGCACACUGUGAAAUGCAACAGGUGAGGAGCGCUCACCCACUGUGGAAAGCUUUGUUUUUAAACACUAAAGCACGCUUCAGUUGGCUAAGGGAGUCUGAGGGGGGAACAUGUUUGACCAUGUAGCACCGCCAGGGUUAACCAAUAUUAGCAGGUGGAAAAUUAGUUUUAUUUAGGCUGUGCUGGCAGGUGGGUCCGAGCCUUGCCGUGCAGGGGCUGCACUGAUGGCUGCCUCCAGGCCAGGGCAGGCGUGGGCUGUUGCCCUCCUGCUGGGUCCCGCCGCGGAACUGAGGAGCGCAGCUCCAGUCAAAUAGUCACUACAUUCCCAAAUGGGUGGCUGCAGUCAUGGUCAGACAGUUUCUCUGUAGCUGGAUACUUGGGAAGAGGUCGCAGUGAGCUGCCUAUCUUGCUGAAGAGCAGAAGGGCUGCAAUGGGAAGGCACACAACAGGAGGAGAUAUAUAUAUAUAGAUAUAUAAGAGAUAUAUAUAUAUACACACACACCCCAUCAGGCACUGUCUCCACCGAGGUCAGUAAUCCCUGCCUUUAUACAGGGUGAAUAGAUUGAAGCAGCCACACCUUAACCCCAGACCUGACACUAAUGCUUUCUUCUGCUUGCCUAAAUGCUCCCUGAAGUCUGAAUUAGUAUUUCUUUUCUAAUCCGCUUGCUAGAGUUGAUGUGCAAUGUUAGUACCUGUGUGUUCAACCAAAAGAGUGGCUGCAAAACAGUGGAGGCUAAAUGAUCACUUCCUACCUCGCUGAGAGGUUUUAGGAGGUUUAAUCCAUUAUUGUUAAAUCCUCAGAGGAAAGAAGGUGUAGAAAAAAGGAGUAUUAAUGUCAUCAUUGCAACUGCCUGUCAGUGUCACAACAUUAAUUAAAAGCAAACAAUUCAAAUGUCAGCUCUCACAUAAAAAUAGUUUAAAUAUUUUCUUUAUAGUUUACAAGAGGAGAUAAUUCUGCUAGGCACACAUACUGAGAUUUUUGCCUUUUCACUGGCGUAUCACAUUGCUUUACAAUGUGCUGUUCGUGAUCUGGUCUUCAGGAAAUCAUCUUCUUGUGAGGAAGACCUGGCAGACUUGUAGCUCCACAUACACGGCGGAGGCUGGAGGGUGCCCUGUCUGCCAGGAUGCCUGGGUAUUUGCAAUGGCAGAGGAGGCUCAGUGCCUUGGAAUUGGGAGGCUGCCAACAGUGGGUGGCCACUGCCUCAGUGUUGGCCUCCCCGGGGUCUCCCCGCUCCGUUUGCUCGCUGCUGAGGCCCGUCUGGGUUCCGUGCCAGAGCCUGGCUGCAGCCGGGGCUGGUGGUUUGGGUUUGCUUGUUGCAGAGGACCAGGUAUAACGAGCUGCCCUUGAUCGAGGUCUUGCUGCAUGCUGUGAAGGUGAUCUGCCUUCCUAUCGCUCCUGUCCUUCCUCCCAUUCCCAUAUUUUGGGAGCCUCUCCAGGGAAUUCAUAAUUUAGGGCUUGCGUCCUGCUCUCGAGGGGAACACCCUGAACUCACAGCAAACAUACACUGAGCUGAAGUUGCUUUAAUUUGAACAGCAGCUGCGAAUAUCAUUGCUCAGGCUGUGCCCCAGCAGAAGCCUUGGAAGCCAGUCUGUGAUUUUAAGGUUAUAGCUACUUCCUUUCCAGCCUGCACAACCAAACAGCCGGGAUGGAAAAGGAGGAGAGGCCACAGAUUAAUUUCUUUUUGUUACCUUUACCGUCGCUCUCCAGCAGCUCUCCAUGGGUUCCUGUGUGCUGUAGCUGUUCCCAGCUGCUUGCUGUGGGUUCUUUGGUACACAAACGCACAGAAAACUUCUCUUAAACUUUCGCUUCUCUGUGCCAUCCUUGCUGGCUAUAUUGCACCAUGUUGUCUCUUAAAAUCCCUUCUGCUUGAAACACGUGCCCUGUGGCAAGGGUGGUGGCAUUACCCCCUGCUCAGCAGCGAGACGCUGCUCAGCCUCUCCUCCAGCAAAGUGAAACCUUCACUGAACCAGCUGCUGGAUACAGAGAGGACGGGUGACUAGCCACCCUCCAAGUAAAAAAUUAGUUCAUUAAUAAGGCACUAGAUUUCCAACAUGCCUGUGUUGUUUUUGGGGCUGCUACCUGCUUUUGCUUUUCUAUCUGAUAAGCACACGUGUGCCCUCAGAGCUGGGUGGGCAGGGAGAAGAGACCAGCGCAUUUAGGACAACAAACUUGCACCAAGGGUGUUUGAGCAGCAAAGGAGCCAUCGUUUCUGAAAGGAUCAGCCAAAUAAAACAUGAAACUUUCUUUGCCCAAGAUCAAGUAAAAUAAUAAGCAAACAGGUUGGUCAUUACCAGGAAAUCUCUGCUUGGACGAGACCAUCUUCCAAGCAGAAGAAUCUCAAAAGGGAACCAGCAGCAGCAUCGCUCCUGGAGUAACGCUUGGACACUGGAGAUCUCCCCUGGAAAGAGGAGGAGGUACCCAACAGGCAUUUUUCAUUACUAAUAUCUAGGAACCUUGAAUCACUUGAAGAUACAGAAGCCCCAAUGUCUGGAGGAGCUGAAGAACUAGGCAAGAAAUACUAGGUGAGAAACAUUAUGGUAUUAAUUGUCCCACUAAAUCUCCCCCCCUCCGCCAGGUCUGGUAUUUGGAAAAAGCCAUGGUCCUCAGAAGAGCGCCUUCCCCCUUCACCUAUUUGAGUGGAUUUCUGCCUAUGAAAAGGAACAAUUUACCUGGAGGAAAAGUUACACUUUCCUGCCAUACCCAACUGUGUAUAAGCUCCAGCACAGAAAUGCAUCUACAGAUUAUGGGGCAGUUGAAGACCCACUAUCUCUUAAAUCUUUGAAGAGAUUACUAGAAGGAGAGUUAAAUCGAUCUUCUGAUUAAAACUGAAUACUGCUCAGUAGCUGAGCUCCACUCAGUGGCUGUGGCAAAAUGAACUCCUGUGGAGUCACGGGGGCAAAGGCAGUGUGGGAGCUUGCACUGCCCACGUCUGACCUGGGAAGCGGUCUGUGACCAUGGAGCGAUUUCACAUUGUGCCCAGCUGCUUUCAGAUGACUUGUCAGUAACUUCUAGUGUUUUACCUCUUGGCAGCACCAACAAUGACAUAAGUUACUGGUUUGCAGCAUCCCUUGCAGGUACAAGACGGUGAAAAUGGAAAAUAAACAAAAGUAUUAAUAAUGGCUGUGAAAAUUUAACUUUUAUUAUCUGUUCACUGUAUACAAAACACCAUUCUGCAUAGUGAUAACUCAUUUGUUGUACAGUUGACAGUGCACAUCAACAAACAAGUGUUCAAGAGGUAUACACUUAAUGGAAAGGGCAGUGAUGGCCAGUGUACAUUACACACUAAGAUCCUGCGACGCCAGCUGUAUGUUUUAGGAUGGAGAAGUACCUCAUAACCACUCAAUAUGUGAGUAAUAUAAAUGGGAUAACAAGCAUUUACCAAUGAAACAAAUUAAGAAUGAGGAUAAAGAGAGAGCGCAGAACUAAUGUAUCUGAUACACAAUGUCCAGAGUGAUUAAGAAGUUUUACAGAGGUGGCUGAGAAGGAUCUGUAUUUUUUCAAACACUUCAAUUUUUCAAACUGUUAAAAUUUAAUGAUAAAUAACAGAAUCUCACAAAUCUUUAGGGGCAAACUGCUCCACAUUUAUUUACAUAUGAAAUGUGUUUAAUACAGUUGUAAUGGACAUAGUGUAUAGCAACAUCUGACAGCAGCAAGACUUUUAAGGAACCAAACAAUUACUACUUUAUAUCAUGCAGCUAUCUAUAUAUACACAAUUUGUUUUAAAAAAAAGUACAAAAAUUUUGUUUUAGGGAUACAUACAAGGUAUAAAAUGCAAAAAGAAACCAAAAAUAUAACUCUCACAGAGAACUAUAUAUGAAAGGGACAGUAUGGUACCUUUUUGUACUUUGUGAAAGCGUAACUAGUGAUAUUAGAUACACGUUUGAAAUGGCUGAACUAGCUUCACAUGGUCUGUGCUAAAGCUGAAAGCCCCAAUUAUACUUACAUAGGCUGGUGUGUUAGCUUCUUGACAGUUGUGGUUGUAUGUGACACUGAGCACCAGAACAUUUGGCAUUAGCAUACAGAGCUGGGAAAUACCAACCCCUGUAGCGAGGGUUAACUAUUUUCUUUCAAUAACCAGAAAUAAAGGAAAAUACAUAAUGCUGUGUACUUGCUUCUAUAUAAUGUUUAAUAAAUUACAUGACAAAAAACAUCAUCAUUAUAAACCUAUUCCUCUAAUUACAUCUUAUUUGUUAAAUCGAGAGCAGCCCAGCCCUUUUGUAACAAUUUGAGCUUUGAUCACAAGCACCUGAUGGCCUAAAAAAAAUCACUUCAUGAUACAGAGUUGUGCAAUUAUACUUUUCAAAAGUACUUUAUCAUUCUAGGGGGUCUGCACCUGUUCUGGUGUCGCCACCUAAAACCAGCACUGCAUUAUUCAUAUGCAGUGGUACUUUUUUUUCUUUUUUUUUUUUUUUUUGUAAUAUAUAUAUUUUUAAGAGAAAGUUUAAAAGCUUCCUUAGACAUUUAGAAGCACAAGUUCUUAGAAUUUAAAAUCUCCCCUUAGCUUGCUUCCCCUCCCCACUCCCCUCCAAGCACUGCCUUCUGAUGCACUUCCAUUAGCUAAACUUUCUUUCAGAAGCAUUCAAAUAAGAAACAGUUUAAGAGAACCUAAGGAACUGCCCCAGCAUUCAGAACUCUGUUUUAAAGAAACUUACUAGAAAAAAAACAGAAACAAAACAGAAAAAAACAAUUUUUCCACUAGAUACCGAUACAAACACAUAACAAAGAGUAUAAAAGUUAUUAGUUUAAAUAUAUACAAACUCUUUUCAACUCAAAUACUGCUUCAAUGGUUUUGAGGGUAUAGACAAUGAGGUGAAGGGGACACUUUUAUGCAGAAUAUAUUGCAACAGCCUGAACAGUACUGUUAACACUAUUAUACCUUGAACUUUCUGUAGCAAAAAUGUCAUUAGUAUUCCAAUGUGGAGAGAGAUUU
Molecule: long non-coding RNA, 5350 nt
Organism: Accipiter nisus (Eurasian sparrowhawk)
Lineage: Eukaryota; Metazoa; Chordata; Aves; Accipitriformes; Accipitridae
Source: Ensembl